Molecule: ribosomal RNA, 253 nt
Filed under: uncultured bacterium
Lineage: Bacteria
Description: partial 16S ribosomal RNA
Rfam family: Bacterial small subunit ribosomal RNA
Source: RNAcentral
UACAGAGGGUGCAAGCGUUGUUCGGAAUUAUUGGGCGUAAAGGGAGUGUAGGCGGUCUGUUAAGUCUUCUGUGAAAUCUACGGGCUUAGCCUGUAACGUGCAGAGGAAACUGACAGGCUUGAGUGUCGGAGAGGAUAGGGGAAUUCCCGGUGUAGAGGUGAAAUUCGUAGAGAUCGGGAGGAACACCAGUGGCGAAGGCGCCUGUCUGGCUGACAACUGACGCUGAGACUCGAAAGCAUGGGGAGCAAACAGG